Molecule: ribosomal RNA, 481 nt
Filed under: Micrococcus luteus
Lineage: Bacteria; Bacillati; Actinomycetota; Actinomycetes; Micrococcales; Micrococcaceae
Description: bacterial SSU rRNA
Rfam family: Bacterial small subunit ribosomal RNA
Source: RNAcentral
UUUAUCCUGGCUCAGGAUGAACGCUGGCGGCGUGCUUAACACAUGCAAGUCGAACGAUGAAGCCCAGCUUGCUGGGUGGAUUAGUGGCGAACGGGUGAGUAACACGUGAGUAACCUGCCCUUAACUCUGGGAUAAGCCUGGGAAACUGGGUCUAAUACCGGAUAGGAGCGUCCACCGCAUGGUGGGUGUUGGAAAGAUUUAUCGGUUUUGGAUGGACUCGCGGCCUAUCAGCUUGUUGGUGAGGUAAUGGCUCACCAAGGCGACGACGGGUAGCCGGCCUGAGAGGGUGACCGGCCACACUGGGACUGAGACACGGCCCAGACUCCUACGGGAGGCAGCAGUGGGGAAUAUUGCACAAUGGGCGNAAGCCUGAUGCAGCGACGCCGCGUGAGGGAUGACGGCCUUCGGGUUGUAAACCUCUUUCAGUAGGGAAGAAGCGAAAGUGACGGUACCUGCAGAAGAAGCACCGGCUAACUACGUC